AUUAAAUUCAAACGGACAAAACAAAAGAGCCUGGAAGGAAUGAGUAUCACGUGGGGCUCACAAACACCACAAAACAAAGAAAAUAUCUAAAGCCUAAAGACUCUAAAGUCUGAACUCUAAACACAAGUGGAUGACAGCCAAGACACACAAAUAAAGAAGAAGAGGUCGUCAGGUAGACCGAAACCAAAAGAAGAAGAAGAAAAAGAUGAGGAAGAAGAAGAGACCGAAAUUAAGAAGAAGAAGAGGAGGAAGAAAAGCACGAAACCCAGAAGGAGAUGCAUAAAUGGCUCUCCCUCCUCUAUGUCCAUGGUCAUUACCUUGCCAAACCCCGCUAGGAGGCUUAACCCCAGCAGCUUGAAAGAUCACUGCAGCAAUCAACGUAGCAACCACUAAGAGAACGUUUCGGACUUCGGUUGGUGGGUCCCAGUCUUCUUCGUAUUGGAAGUACUUAAACCAGUUCCUCCAGCUACGAGUAUUUUGAGGUGGGUUAUCCUUUUUUUUUUUUUCUGUGCAAGCAAUCAUAUAAGUCUCUGCAAAACCAUACGGUCUUGCUCUUGCAUGACGUUUUUUAAUCAUUUGUUUGCUAUAUAUAGCAUAUUUGUUUUUUUUUUUUCUUUAAACCUUAUUAGUUGUUGUUUUGGUCAAUAAAGAUGUGCCUUGUGAGGAAGAGAUAAGGAGGUUUCAUCCUUAUAGAAAUUAAAGGAAACUGCAAUGCAGUAAAAAUAUAUGUAUAUACAAUUCAGUUCCUUGGAAAAAGGAUGAAUUUUUUUUUUCC
Molecule: long non-coding RNA, 775 nt
Organism: Quercus lobata
Lineage: Eukaryota; Viridiplantae; Streptophyta; Magnoliopsida; Fagales; Fagaceae
Exons: 2
Source: RefSeq, a predicted model, not a curated record